GUGCCAGCAGCCGCGGUAAUACGGGGGGGGCAAGCGUUGUUCGGAAUUACUGGGCGUAAAGGGUUCGUAGGUGGCUUGUUAAGUCAGACGUGAAAUCCCUCGGCUCAACCGGGGAACUGCGUCUGAGACUGAUGAGCUCGAGUGCAGGAGAGGAACGCGGAAUUCCAGGUGUAGCGGUGAAAUGCGUAGAUAUCUGGAGGAACACCGGUGGCGAAGGCGGCGUUCUGGACUGCAACUGACACUGAGGAACGAAAGCCAGGGGAGCAAACGGGAUUAGAUACCCCGGUAGUCC
This 292-nucleotide ribosomal RNA is filed under the name uncultured bacterium. Its description in RNAcentral is "partial 16S ribosomal RNA". It matches the Rfam family "Bacterial small subunit ribosomal RNA", at positions 505 to 796 of the family's 1533-position model. The record is from RNAcentral.